GGGGAGGUUGCUGCUGGGAGAUAAUUUUUAGGUCCAGGAAGCGCUCGGAAGCAGUCAAUAUAGCAGUAAGCAUCUUCCAGCACCCUGUUAUGGAGAGAAGAGUAUUGGGGUUUAUGGUGAGAACUGUAUCGCAUUGUGGAGCACUAACCAGUUUUUACUGCGGAAGACGACAAGCUUCAUUCUGUGUGUGAUGGGCGGUUGGGAACCAUACCCUUCAAUAUGAAAACUUGCCAGCUUCUAAGUGUUCCACACAGAGGUCAGCACCUUCACUGUCUCCAGCUCAAUCUCUAGGUACACCUACCUAUAUAUGCAAAAAUCAAUUGAGUGAAACCACUAGUUUGAUUAUCCAUUAGAUGCAUUCUUGAUCAAACAUUAGAGCAGUAGUACCCGUGUGAUUUACAAUAUGGGUAUUUUUACUGGAUGCUGUAAAAAUAACAGUUUGCUUUUGUUCACGUCAAUGACCAUGAUAACACAUUAAUGGCUAUAAAAGAAAUAAUGAAAUUAGCUGAACAAACGCGAGUUAUCAACAACCUAUGGCAUAACUAGCAAAACCAUCAG
Long non-coding RNA from Dreissena polymorpha, 558 nucleotides. RefSeq lists it as uncharacterized. The transcript is spliced from 2 exons. NCBI's taxonomy places the organism in Eukaryota, Metazoa, Mollusca, Bivalvia, Myida, Dreissenidae. The record is from RefSeq and is a predicted model, not a curated record.